RNAcentral lists this ribosomal RNA (395 nucleotides) under Streptococcus oralis. RNAcentral describes it as "bacterial SSU rRNA". It matches the Rfam family "Bacterial small subunit ribosomal RNA", at positions 383 to 774 of the family's 1533-position model. Lineage: Bacteria; Bacillati; Bacillota; Bacilli; Lactobacillales; Streptococcaceae. The record is from RNAcentral.
CUGACGAGCACGCCGCGUGAGUGAGAGGUUUUCGGAUCGUAAAGCUCUGUUGUAAGAGAAGAACGAGUGUGAGAGUGGAAAGUUCACACUGUGACGGUAUCUUACCAGAAAGGGACGGCUAACUACGUGCCAGCAGCCGCGGUAAUACGUAGGUCCCGAGCGUUGUCCGGAUUUAUUGGGCGUAAAGCGAGCGCAGGCGGUUAGAUAAGUCUGAAGUUAAAGGCUGUGGCUUAACCAUAGUAUGCUUUGGAAACUGUUUAACUUGAGUGCAAGAGGGGAGAGUGGAAUUCCAUGUGUAGCGGUGAAAUGCGUAGAUAUAUGGAGGAACACCGGUGGCGAAAGCGGCUCUCUGGCUUGUAACUGACGCUGAGGCUCGAAAGCGUGGGGAGCAAACA